Molecule: long non-coding RNA, 1092 nt
Organism: Cataglyphis hispanica
Lineage: Eukaryota; Metazoa; Arthropoda; Insecta; Hymenoptera; Formicidae
Exons: 4
Source: RefSeq, a predicted model, not a curated record
AAUCCCUAUCAGUGGCUGAAUAAGCAAGGACACAAGCAUGAGCGCCGCGAUAAUAAGCGGCUGUGAUAGCGUCAAAUUCCUCCUGUCCUGCGGUAUCCCACAGCAUUAAUCUCACAUCCUCGCCGUCAACUCUGUACAUGAAUGCAAAAAGUGAUUGGUAUGAUGGAGAUAUUAAAAGAUUGAUCGCACACAUACACAUGCAACGAAAUAAAAAUUUCCUUCUACAUUGACCGACAUUACAUCGUUGAAUAUUCGGAGGGGGAUGCGAGAAGUAUCCCACGGUAGUUCGCGCUGUCAUGAUUAAAAUCGGGUUUUUCUCAGGCGCGUCGCGUCUCGAAUCCGUAUACAUAUUGACGAUUGAUGAGGAAUGUGACCCAAAUAAUUUCACCAAAUACGAUCGUCUAUACAGCAUGUCGCAUAAGGGAAGUGGGUUAAUACGUGGAUAAAGAUGUAAACCUAUAAAAAAAACCGGUCGCCGAAAGCAAUCUCCUGACUUCUGCGAGCACGUGAUUUAGGGCUUAAAAUUCAAAAUGACAUAUAUGGCCCGCGUCAUACGAGACAGAGUAUCUCAGGAAUUCUCAUAGAUUUUAAAAAUUCAAUUCCAGUCUUUCCUUGCGAGAUCGUCUUUAAAUUAUUCGAGGGAUUCGUAUAUCGAAGGUCAUCUUGUCGAAAGUCUACUACACCUAUUCGCCGAAAGUUAUUCGAGUGAAACAAAUUACUCAUCAUUAGACGAGGACCGAACGUUUUAAGAGAAGGUAAAAAACGCAGCGCGAUCGGCGAACUUGUGGCCUCGCCGUGGAAUCAAGUAAUAACUCUUCAUAAUGCAAUGACAUGCUAUAUAACGAAAAACCGCUUUCCUCGCCGAUGGAAAAUCACGAUGAAUUAUAUAAAAAUGCGUCCAUUCCUUUUUUAAGAAUUUACGCCAGCCUCCUCUCGUUACACUUUCUGCACAUGGAAUAAAAUAGAAAUAUGUAGGCUGGUGGAUUCAAAAGUGGGAAAAGAACGAAGAGUAAUAGAAAGAAGAAAUGCAAUGAAGAGAGCGAUAUGGCUGAAAACUGAAAGGAAAUACAACAGACCACGGUUGAGUCCCGC